GUGGGGAAUAUUGCACAAUGGGGGAAACCCUGAUGCAGCGACGCCGAGUGAGGGAAGAAGGUUUUCGGAUUGUAAACCUCUGUCCUUGGUGAAGAUAAUGACGGUAACCAAGGAGGAAGCUACGGCUAACUACGUGCC
Molecule: ribosomal RNA, 138 nt
Filed under: uncultured bacterium
Lineage: Bacteria
Description: partial 16S ribosomal RNA
Rfam family: Bacterial small subunit ribosomal RNA
Source: RNAcentral